UCUUGGAUUGCUAAUGAUUUGAUGCAUUCAUAUUGGUCUUGCUGCAGAAAAAGGCAAAGGAGUUUAGGAAGCAAAAAUCAAUUGACAAGAUCGAUGCGGAGGAAUUUAUUGCAGGUUCCAGCAGGCCAUCUAAAAAGAAAUCGAAGAGCUCUAGAUAAGGAAUACUACUUAGAAAGCCUGCUUGUGCUUGUAAAACCUGCAGCUGUGUAAAUUGCUGUGUUGUCACUAUCUUGUAUCUUCCUUCGGCCACCAUGUUGACGUUAGAAUUCUGGAGGACCUUCCCAUCCAUGCCUGUCAGCUAGUCUUAGUAUCUGGCGAUUUUGGAAAUGGGGUCACGCUCUUUUUCCCCCUUUGUUGUGAUGAUGGGUGAGGUCCAUAGUUUUGCUCUGUGUACUGGCUCUGAUAAAUGUCGUUGCUUUGUGUUACAAAUAAUUUACUGACAUGGAUCAAUUAUUCUUCUCUCUGUACUUAUCAUUUACUCUUUUGGUUUAGUCUUUGUUUCCAGUAAUUCUUCAUCAUCUCGUCUGUGUAUGGAUAGGGAAAUGUUAGAGCUUCUUUACUUGCAACAUAAGAAAGAAACUGCCAGCAGCACAUCGAUUCAUUCCUGAUCUGUCAAUUAGGUUUAGUAAAGCGCAGAUAACACAAAGAGCUUACUUGUUUAGGAACAAAAAAAACAUAGAAAUCAAAAAAGCAUAAUUAAUGACUCAAGGCAGUAGAAAUCAAACUUCAAUGGGAAUUUACAAUCUCAAUGUAAAUGAAACCUUGGUAAAUUGCAGCAAAUUUGUUCAACAAAUCAUCAGUAGUCAUUGAGUAGAAAGAUUUCUCCCAUCCACUUCAGGAUCUUUUGGUUUUCCAUCGAGUAUAAGUGCAUGUAUUAUUUUGUGUAAGGGUUGGAGAUAUAAAAGCAGCCAGGGAAGUAAAUCAGUUGCAAUAAUUAUAACUUUUAUUUGAAGUCAAAGGAAAGUUUGUCUUGAACACGUUGCUUAAUGAUCAUUUCAAAAGUAUACUGUGAAACACUGUGGAUGAUUAUUAUUAAUCUCCUUCAGCAAUAUUAUCCACAUCUAAAUUAGUUUGUUGAUCAUGAUUAUUUGUCAAAUAAUGAUGCUUUGUGGAACCAAUCAAUGAUAAUAACAUACUUCUAAUUUUUUUUAAUGUCACCCCUGAAUAGCUUGUUGUAACUGGCUAAUUGCACAUAUAGUGUAAAUAUUAUUUAUAACAUUAAUGUAUAUAAGUAAUAUCCUAAAUAAAACGAGGCUAUAGUUUCAAAAGAAACCAGUACUAUAAUUUUCGGACCAGGAAAACACUAGGUAAACUGACAACAGAAAUCAAUAAAACAUGAAGCGGUGUCCUGCUGGAACAUGGAAUUAAUACACCAAAUCUUAUAGAGACUAGAAGCCAUCUAAAUUACAUGCACUCAGGCGUUUCACUAAUUUGUGACUGUGAGACUCAUCUUAAUUGCUAAUCCCAUUAAUUCAUUUUGUAAAGAGUUUAAGUCAUAUACAUGGUCAUUAGCAGGUGACCUGUCUUAUUUUCAAGAUUAUAAAUUUACAAUUUAAGGAAGCUUACAUGUAAAUAUCUUUUAAUUUAUAUGACCUGAUAGUAUAAAAAAUUCUUUACAAAUACCUGUAUGUUCACAUGAUUUAAUGGCCUAAAACUCCGACAUGUAAGUCUAGUCGAUAUAGCAUUAAGUGUUUAACUAAUAUUAUUAAUUAGAUCAUCUGAGGAGGAAAAAGAUACCGUCUACGGUAAGUUCAUCUAGUAACCUGAAAAAUAAAGCACUAGAAUAUAUAUGUUCAAAUACACUCAGAGCUUAAAUUAAAAUACUGCGAGGUUAUAUAAGUUAUAUCCAGCAGGAAAAGGAAAACUCAGUAUAUUACAAUGCAUGUCGAGCUUAACCAUAGUAGAAAAUUAAAAGAAAGGAUCAAAAGAAAGCUCGAAAAUAGAUUUAAGUUCAUCCCAAUUCCCAUGCUCUAACCACUCAUUAAAGUCGAGAGGACUAUUCGAAUUGGAUGCAGUUGCAACAGUAGAGAUCGAUAGCAUACUUUCAUCAUUUGCAGAUCCUGAGCUUUGUUGCCCUACGUUUAACAGCUGCUUAUUUUCAACAUGAUCACUACAGGUAUUCUGUUUGACCACAUGAGGUGUGCUAAAACUGAUGUAAAUCUGAGAACUUUUUGAAGAAUCAAUAUUGCUGCUGCAUAUUUUGGGCUGCGGCGUUGCUGCUGCUACUUUCCAAUCUGGUAUAAAUUUUCGAUAUGAAGCAUUUCGUUUCAAGAUACGACAAAGAGUCCAUGCUUCCUGGAAAGAGAUUUUCAAUUUAAUUCAUGCAUGUAGAAUUAUAUAUUAAUUGUAGAUAAAAUUAUAUUUUAUUUAAUAGCAUGGUACCAGAUUGACAGUAUUGUCAUAUAAUACAAUAUGAUAUUAGAGAUUCUGAUAUUAGAAUAGAUUAUGAUAAGCUUGAUUACUUAUACGUCAGGCAACAAAAAUGCUGGCAUGCUUAUAAGUUUAUAUCCUCGUAAACUAUCAAAAUUACGGAAUGAGAGAUGAUUAUUUAGCUUAAGAAAAUAUAUCGAUUAAUAACAACUAUAUAUCCCAUCUUGGCAAACUUAAUUCUGAAGAUUUAGAUUCCGUUGAUAAACAAAAGUGAAUUAGUAUGAUAGCAUGUUUAGCCAAACUUCUAAAAUAAGUUUAGUUUCAAAUGUUUCUUUUUGUAAAGUGCUUUUGGUAUCUUCGUUUGAACCAAAAAAGAAAGUGAGAAACAUGUUGUGUUUAGUUAAAUAAUUAAAAAAAUAUUUUUAGACAACAAUUAGUGUUUGACCAAACCUUGUAAAAAGUAUUUUUUUUAAAAGUGAUUUUCCCACAAGUGAUUUGGAAAGAAGCCACGUACUUUUUUUUUGCUUCUCAAAGAUUAUUUUUGCUUCUACUUAAAAACACUUUUUCCUUCUAAUUAAAAAGCUUGGUCAAACACGGUUAGUUUAGUUGGGAAAAAAGCACUUUUGGCAACCAAAAAAAGAAGCUUGGCCAUUUAACUAUUAUUUAACAUUCUUAAAUCAAACUAAGACACGUAAAAUGAAACGAAACGAGUAGUAUGAAUUUUGAAGUUUCUUACAGCUUCUUGAGCAAUGGUGUUAGCUGAAUGAAGGUUUGGAAGACGAAACUCGUGCAUCAUCCACUCAGUUUUUGUGCCUUUUCCAGCACUGCCUCUGUAAUAUACCAAUGAUUUCUUUAGUCCUAUGACUUCUCCUUUACUGUAAAUAGAUUUAUCAAUACCGGUUGCCUUCCAAAAUCCAGAACCCGCCGUCACUCUGUUAGGUCUUACACUGUUCUUGUAUUUUCUUCCCCUUUUGCAAUAGUAGUACCAUUCAUUUUCUCCCUUGUUACUAGCCUCUGAAACAUCCAGAUAAUUAAACGACUCGUUAAAAGUACGUAUACAAUGAUAUUCAGUGCUAAAAGGUCAAACGCUUUUUGUGCAUGUGCUGCCUCUUCAAUUCUCUACUACAAUUUGCAUGUCGAAGUAGACACAUGUCUUAUGCCUUGACAUAUCCAAAUUAAAUAAACGACUCUAAAUUUAUAGCAUAUAUAAAACCUUUUAGAAAAUCUUUACAUGCAAAUGUGUAAUUUUAAACAAAUCUUCUUCUGUCCUGAUCAUAUAUAUAUAUAUAUAUAUAUAGAAGUACGUACUAGUUCUAAAUUCAAAACCAAUGACGAGUAUAUAUAUAUAUUUGUUGGAUAGUUGUAAUAAUUCUUAACUCUUUUCUUUUUUCUAUCGUGUCUAAUAUUACAAUUUUUAACCACAGAGGCUCUCUCAAAUAUUUACAAAAUAUACGUGUUAGAUCAUGAGGUUCAAACCUCUGACCUCUUAGAGUAAAAUUAGGAACAUAACCAACACACCAUAACGUAACUUUGUGCCAAAUGAUGUCAUUUUUUUCUACGUAUCCGUUUCCUCACACUAUUAAUACAUAUAUUUAGUAAAAUUUUCCGACGAAACGGUGUUAUGAUAUUUUUGUUACAUCAAACACACACCCUAAACAUCUAUUAUACUUUUUUUUUUAGGUCAUAUUUUCUUUAAGAAAAACCUAGAGAAAUGAAAGAAGCAAAACGGAACUGUAAAACAAAUUAAAGAAAUUAAGAGAGAGUAAUAAGUAGACAUACGAGGCAGAUCCCAAGGGUCAUAUUUGUAGAUGUCCAUCUGUUUGAUAAGUUGUAAACCGAUCGGUCUUUUCUCAACUUUCCUUCGAAGGUAAAACCCAACAAGCUCUUCAUCUGUCGGAUGAAACCGAAACCCUGGAAGUGGAACAUCUUCGUCUUCUUCUUCUGCCUUUAAUUUGUUGUAGUAAUUAUUAUUUGUAACUAUGCUGUUGCUGCUUAUUUUUUCCACUUCCAUUAUUAAUUCUUGUUGUUUUUCUUCUUCUGCUUUUUUAAUGAAAGAUAAUUAUAAAUUGGUGGCCUGGUCUCUUGCUAGGGUUGUAUAUUUAUAUAUAUCAGCAUAUAUAUAUAUAUAUAUAUAUAUAUAUAUAUAAAGAAGAUGAUGUAAAUUAAUUAAUUAAGGAGGCUCAAGACUGUGUGUUCCUUUAAUUUGGUCAAAGUCAUGAGGAUUGACUUUGUUGUUUCAGGGGCAAAAGGUCUUUGAAUGGACGGAGUCUUUGUAUAUAUGAGUGAUCACCCAUUGACUUAAAAUACAGGAAAACCCAAAAGGACAACAAUUUAGUAUAUUAUAAAACUUAUAGAAGAGGGUAAAGACUUUUUCCUUAGUAGAAAUAUCAUCUACGCGAAGGAACCUUCUUCUUUAUCUUCCCUCCCACUUGGAAAAAAAUUGAAAUUAUUGUCAAGUAAACAAAAACUAAGUGAAUGAUUAUAAUGAGGAGAGAGAAUCUAUUUCAAAAUGAGGCCAAAUUUGAGACUCGACUCUAUAUAUUGCAUGAUAAUGCGUGAGGCAUUACUACUAUAUAUGGUAGCCAUUCGAACCACAUAACAAAUGAUCUUAAAAUCUUAAUUUUACACAAAUAGCCGUCUAUAUUCACUAUUUACUUUUUCUAAUCAUAUACAUAGAUUAUACGUUGAUUAUAUACAAUUAUACACAUAUAAUACACAAAUUAUGCAUAUAUUAUAGGCCAAAAUCUUAGAUAGCCCCUUAAACUUGGCGCGUUUUGUAAAAUAAACAUAUAAACUUAUGGGGUGACCAGAUAGAUACUUGAACUCAUCCAAAGUGUAAUUUUUAAACACCCUCUUUAUGUUAGACUUUGUGCGUGAGGUCCAAAUGCCACUUACAUGGCAAAUGAACGAAUAAUAUGUUAACACAUGUAUUUUCUUUUCCAUGUAAGCAAAUAAUAGUCUAAAACCAAAUAAUACCUUUCAUUUGUUCAUCUUCUCUCUCUGAGACCCAACUCUCAUCUCAUUCCCUACCUAAUUUAUAUCACAGUUCUUGUAAUUCUAAAGUUAAAUUUCAUCCAAACUUCAGCAAAAUCAAAAGGAAAUCAUGUAAAGGUGGAGAUUUUAUUUUAUGAUGGAAAAUCAUCGUCAACUUGUCUGGAGAAGGGAGAUAACGAGUUAGAGAGGAAAAUAUAUGGAAGCAUCUACUGUGAUUUAAGAGAGAUGUAAAAGAAAACACAUCAAAUGACCACUGAAAUAUUUUGGCUUCGAUGGUGUUUUCAGCUAUGGAAAAGAGGAAUAUUAGGGGUUAGGGCUUUUUUUAAUCAUUGGGGAAAAGUAGUGUUGGGUAUGGGUUAUAUAAAGAGGAAUUUUUUACUGUUAAUUUUCUGAUUCAACAGCUUUAAAAUAGCUAUCACGCGCUCAUCAGUAAAGAUACAACACGCGGUAUGCCAGGUUGGACAUAGGUAUUUAAAAAUUACACUUUGGACGAGUUCAAGUGUCUAUCUGGUCACCCCAUAAGUUUAUAUGUUUAUUUUACAAAACAUGCCAAGUUUAAGGGGCUAACUAAGAUUUUGCUGACUAUUUUUAAUCUAAGCGGUUGGGUGAACGGCUAUUUGGGUUAAUUCUUCAACAUGGGUAUAAAAUCUAUCAGAUUGGAGGCAUUUGAAAUUAUGGAUUUUUAAUGUGAAGUCUUUAUUAUACUAGUAAUUAUAUUUAACAGGCACAAAUUUUAAAACAGUCGGAAGGUCAUUCAGAUAUUUAUCUUAGUGCGUGGGACUUUAACAUCAUCUGAAGCGUUGUAACCUCUCAAGUUUUGACCUUAGUUUCAAACCUCAACACAAUGCAAGAUGAUCACUCACUCUUGGAAUUUCAUUACAUAAACACAAAUUAUUAGAAACUUCUUUAUUUUUGGAGGAGACUAAUAAUAUAUAGACGCAAUCAUCGAAAAGUAUAUAGAUAUAAAUCAAAACAUACGAAACCUAAUAUUGCUUUAAUUUGCAUGAAAAGUAAGGUGACAUAUAUAUGGAUCAUGACUUGGGGUAGUGUCGUUUAUUCAAAGUAAUGGGAUAAUUGACUUUGAUGUUUGAGAGCCGAGAGAUUUUUUCCUGAAAUGGUACAAGUCUUUAGUNNNNNNNNNNNNNNNNNNNNNNNNNNNNNNNNNNNNNNNNNNNNNNNNNNNNNNNNNNNNNNNNNNNNNNNNNNNNNNNNNNNNNNNNNNNNNNNNNNNNNNNNNNNNNNNNNNNNNNNNNNNNNNNNNNNNNNNNNNNNNNNNNNNNNNNNNNNNNNNNNNNNNNNNNNNNNNNNNNNNNNNNNNNNNNNNNNNNNNNNNNNNNNNNNNNNNNNNNNNNNNNNNNNNNNNNNNNNNNNNNNNNNNNNNNNNNNNNNNNNNNNNNNNNNNNNNNNNNNNNNNNNNNNNNNNNNNNNNNNNNNNNNNNNNNNNNNNNNNNNNNNNNNNNNNNNNNNNNNNNNNNNNNNNNNNNNNNNNNNNNNNNNNNNNNNNNNNNNNNNNNNNNNNNNNNNNNNNNNNNNNNNNNNNNNNNNNNNNNNNNNNNNNNNNNNNNNNNNNNNNNNNNNNNNNNNNNNNNNNNNNNNNNNNNNNNNNNNNNNNNNNNNNNNNNNNNNNNNNNNNNNNNNNNNNNNNNNNNNNNNNNNNNNNNNNNNNNNNNNNNNNNNNNNNNNNNNNNNNNNNNNNNNNNNNNNNNNNNNNNNNNNNNNNNNNNNNNNNNNNNNNNNNNNNNNNNNNNNNNNNNNNNNNNNNNNNNNNNNNNNNNNNNNNNNNNNNNNNNNNNNNNNNNNNNNNNNNNNNNNNNNNNNNNNNNNNNNNNNNNNNNNNNNNNNNNNNNNNNNNNNNNNNNNNNNNNNNNNNNNNNNNNNNNNNNNNNNNNNNNNNNNNNNNNNNNNNNNNNNNNNNNNNNNNNNNNNNNNNNNNNNNNNNNNNNNNNNNNNNNNNNNNNNNNNNNNNNNNNNNNNNNNNNNNNNNNNNNNNNNNNNNNNNNNNNNNNNNNNNNNNNNNNNNNNNNNNNNNNNNNNNNNNNNNNNNNNNNNNNNNNNNNNNNNNNNNNNNNNNNNNNNNNNNNNNNNNNNNNNNNNNNNNNNNNNNNNNNNNNNNNNNNNNNNNNNNNNNNNNNNNNNNNNNNNNNNNNNNNNNNNNNNNNNNNNNNNNGUCCUUCUAACAUUAAAAUACCCUAAUUGGAAAAAAGAAAGAAAACCUACGGUUGGCAACAUCCCAAACGAAAAGGUGCUACAAGAAUUAACGAAACGGUGGCAGCCUUUUGUUUGGCAGAAUGCAUCUCUGCUUCGUAACAUCUAAAAGAGAACCAUGCAAAUUUUAGGGAAACAAAGCGGUUAAAGUAGCUUAUAAGCAUCUUUUGACUUAUUUACGCAUUUGGUAAAUACACAAAAUGCUUAUAAGUCAAAUGCUCAUAAGCUAAAAUCAGCCAUAAGUCAUAAGUUGGUCACCCCCAACUUAUGACUUUUUAACUGAUAAGUACUUUUAGUUUGACCAAAACUUUUAUUAGUUUAUCCUUAAUAAUAUUUUCUAAUUCACAAAAUAAUUUUUCCAAAAUAAAUUUUCUAACUUUCUUUUCAUUCCAUAUUCAUUGUUCAUCUUUUUCUUUACAAAGAAACUUUUUAAUUUAUAAUCUUUUGUAAAGUUUUUAAGGAUAUUUUAGUCAUUUUAAAAAAAGAACAACUUAUCAGCACUUUUAUACCAAACACAUCAACUGCUUAUUAUCAGUUUCAGCACGUCUAUCCAAACACGUAAAUGCUUAUUUAAAAAUCAAUUCCAAUACUUAAAAAUAUUUUUCAGCACUUCAAACUUAUCAGCUAUUUACAACGGGCUUAUAAUUUCAGGUGGAUGACUAAAAGCAAUUGGUGGGGAAGUUAACAACGAGUUCCCAUGAACCGAACUCGCUUCCAUCAGUUGAAUCCCCUAGCAGCGUAAGUUCAGAAAGGAAAUCUUGCUAACUUUAAAGUUGUUUGCUUAGGAAAUUCAUGUAACCAUAAAUCUGGUUCCUCUUGAAUUUCUCUUUUACGUUUCCUUCAUGAUUCAAUUUAUCUUUUAAUCAAUGGUCAAUUAGAAACUCUGCAGCGUGAAUUUGGCAUAGCAUACUGACACCGAGUUGAAAAAGGGGAAAGAUUAUUGUAGGUUGAUGUCAAUUUAUAAGUGGUUUUAAGGAUAUGUGAUUUAAUUUGAUACAAGACGACAAAUCAGAUUACAAUUGAAAUAAGUAAUGGAUAAGUAAAUGCUAACCACACAAGUUGAACAGUCUUAGCCUAGGAAGGUUUGACACCCUCGAGCCAAAGAUGCUUUUAUUGAUAUCAGAACAGAAACAACAAGAGAGUCACAAGAACUUGACGAGAAUAAUAAUAUAUUUCUUUUGGGAUGCGUGUUACCAUGUGCUCUACAAGUAACCGGACCCCUGUUAUAUAGUAGGGGAGUCUUAUUUUAGGUACAAUUCUAUAAAAGGUAAUAAUCUCCUGGUUUGCUGAUUUGCCGGUUCCCUACUGAUACGUGAUAAGAUUCCCGCCGCGAUAUCUCACCGGUUACGGAUAUUUCGGCCUUCCGUUAUUUUGGUCUUCUAUUGGUUAUACCGACAAUGUUUCCUCGAGCUUACUCGGGGUCGGGGUCGAUUCCGGGAUCAUGGACUCAAUGUUCUCUAGGACGGACGUUCUGACCUCGUGUUCUGGUUUGACGAGACUCGGGGUCGAUCCUCGACUCUUCUCAUUCCGAGUCCGAUCUGUCAUGUAAUAAUCAAGCCCGAUUUCGAUUGUAUACACUCAGUUAAUGUCACGACCCAAACCGAUGGGUCGCGACGGGCACCCGAUACCUUACUCAACCGAAUCCCAACGUAACAUAUCUUUCUUAUUAAAUCAUCAUAGGUAUGUGUGCCAGAAUGAGUGUCAUAAGAUAAACAGAGUAAACAUGAGGAAACCCCCGACAUAGAAUAACCCAACCUGAUAUAGAAACUCAUACCUGUGACAUACAAGCCUAUAAGGCCAAUGUGAUCCAUUAUAUACUUAAAACAUAGGCCGACGGGGUCAUACAAGUAUCCGUAUACAUGAUAUCUUUCUACAAGCCUCUAAGAGUACAUACUUAUCAUAAAGGUCGGGACACGGCUCCGCCAUACCAAUCAAUAUAUAUCCUAAUCAUACUGACCAAAUAAGCAACUCCGGAGCAAAUGGAGCACACCAAUACCCUCCGCUGAGCUGAUAGCCCACUUGAAGGACUCUCAACCUAUCUAUCGGGACCUGCAGGCAUGAAACGCAGCGUCCCCAGGCAAAAGGGACGUCAGUACAAAUAAAGUACCGAGUAUGUAAGGAAUGAACAUCAGUAAAUAAAAGUCAUGAGAGAAACAUUGAGUAAAGAACUCGACAUGUAAGUCUGAGUUAGCUCUGUAAAUUAUUUAAUAUUUACAAUGUCAUGCAUAUGCGUAUAAAUAUCCUACCAUGCAUAGGUAUAUGCGUUCAUAACAUCAUCAAAUCUUUGAGGGUAUCCCAUCAUAUUAUCUCGGCCACUUUGGGCAAAUCAUCAAGGUAUACCAGCUGAUCAGGUGGUGGUGCGUAUAUAACGUCGUAACCUUUUCCUAUAUCCCAUAUAUAUAUAAUAUACGCGUAUAUAACGCCAUCUGGUCAUGGGUCAAUAUACAUGUAUAAAUGCAUGAAAUGCAUAAGAAGUGCGUUAAUAAGAUUUCUCAGAAUGUCACAAGAUCAAUAUGCCUUUGAUUAAUAUCAUAAAAUAAACUUUAUCAACUUACAUAUUUUCUGAGACCCAUGAACAAAUGAUAAAACAAUAGCACACAUGAGGAAUCAAUAACAUAGGCACUUCUAGUAUUUCUAUGAAUAGAGUCAUUUAUGAAAGUUAUGCAUUUGUUCGUUUCGUUUGUGACGUAUGGAUCAUGCCAAAAGGAAAGAAGGGAUAGCCUUAACAUACUUGAGUCGAUUCUCUUGACAAUCCCUCUAACACAUCUUUUGCGAAAAUACGCAACGGCGGAUCGAGGUAAGGAAAAAUCCGUAUGAUAUUCUUGAGAAAGAUUAUACCGUACUCCCUUCGAAUCGUAAAUCCCACAUGCUUGAGGCAAUCACGUUGCUAUUGCAACAAUACCUUUGCUGAAGAUUUCUUCUUUAAGAUGAGCAACUCAAUUGUGAAUUAGAAAGGUUGUCUUUAACCUUUAGGUGUGUCCCACGUCAGGGGUUGACUAAGCCACCAAUUUCUCAUAAGGUGCCACAUUACUCUAUGACUUAAAGAGUCAUAUUUAACUAAUGCUCUUGGCUGCUGCGUUGGGGCUGUUAAGGUAUUAUCCAUAAUUUCUUAAUUACAUGGUUAAUCUUCCGUUAAAUUAAUAAUUAACUAAUUACUCAUAUAAUUAAGAAUGAUCUCUAAUUACUUAAAAUACUACUCACUUUUAAUACACUUUAUACAUCUUACUAUCAUGGUCAUGUGGUACCUUGUAUGACACUAGUUCAUAAAUAUGGGGUAUUAUAGCUUGGACCGUAUUUUAUCUCAAAACGACAACCUUCAACGAAACUCUUUUUCUUCAAUUUGCUUACUCUCUCAUCUUUACUAAUUUACUCAUCACUUGUUUGAAAUCACAUAAUGCUUAUAAUCUCAAAAUAAUCUCAUUUCCGAACUUACGUCGAUUAACUUACGACGAAACUUUAACAUACGAAAAUGCGGGAUGUAAUAUUUUAUUUUCGAGCUUAUAUCAAUUUACUUAUGGCGUACUUUCGCGUACGAAAAUAUGGGGUGUAACAGUUAAACCAUAUAUUCUAUGAUCCUUUGAUCAAUCGAGAGCAGAGCAUCUAGAGGAAAAUUUUAAACCAAUAAAGGAAGAAAUCAAAGAAUAUCAAUAGAUUACAGGGGGUAAAGGAAGGCUCACAUUGGAAGCAAUUAUCGUGAGACCAGUGGUACUCAAACUUUCGCCCUGCAGUUGAAAUUGUGACCAUUCUAAUUAGUUAUUAAUAUAAGAAAGAGUAUUUUUUUUUGUUUCUAUCAUACUAUAGGGAAAAAUUGCACACAACCGAACAAGCACCAUGCCAAUAUUUUCUCUCAACUUAAUGGAGUACCACAUAUCCUCACUUUCACUAUAGAUUUUAUAUUAUGACACAAACUAAUAUGUAGGAAUAUUGAGAUAACUUGCAAAGAAAUAACAAUUUAUACUUGGCAUUACAUGAAUGGAAACAGAGACACCAACCAUACUCCAAACUUAGAAUUAGUGAUCCACUACUAUGGAUUUAUGUUCAUCUCUCGCGGUUUAUUGUAGGACUUUUUUGCAAUUUUUUUAAAAAAAAGACUGAAUAAGAACCAAGCCUUUUGCAACCAUGUCAUGAGGUAGACAUAAACCUUUCCCGGCAGCCGGCACAAUGUAAUGCGUUUUGGCAUAAAAAAAUUCACUACAAGGUGAUGACUGAAAUCUUAUUUCUACAAAUGUUAAGAUAGAUGUUACACAUGAAAAUGGCACUUGGAAUAUUUGAAGUGUGGAUAUACUUGGCUUAGGAUUAAAAGUUCAUACUAGACUUAAUGUCUGAUAUUAUUUUGAAGAAUUAGCUAGAAGUGCACGCAAGGUUAAUGAAAACUACAAACGAACUUUUUAUUUUGCGUAUUUUUUUAUGGCACUAAAGUUUUCAUGUAGCAUAUAUGGUAGUUGCUAUGCUAAUUAUACAGUCACAAUGAGUUUUUGUUUAAAGCCUUAAAUUCCUGGAUAAAGUCUACGCUAAUUAUCAUCCAAAUAUUUUGAAAAGAAUACCUCUAGCGAAUAGUCUGCUUCAUUAGUGGAUAAAUAUAUAGAAAAUAAAUAAGAGUAUUGGCCUAUGGAGCCAAUUGUAUUUUUGCCAUAACUUAGAAGGAAUGAUCUAAUUCUAUUGAUCCAUGCACCUUUCAAAAGAUGAUUGUGUACUCUUACACUUUGAUAAGUUAAAUAUUUUCGAUGUGUGUGAUGUUGCUUACUACUUUUGAUUUAUUAGAUAUUAGUUCUUGACUACUUUUCACAGAAUUUUAAUAUUCUCAAUUUUAUAAUGUCUAAUCUUUCUAAUUUGGGUAAGUUUUGUACGGAAAGAAAAAUAUUUUGAUGAAGAUUUUUGUGAGAAAUAUUUUACUUAAAUCUUUAUUUUAAUAAAAUUAUUAUUUUAUAAAAUUAUAGCUUAACAUACACGUGCAACGCACGUGACAAGAAACUAGUAUAUAUAUAAGAAAUUUUCUUAUAAGGGUGUAGACGAAGAUGAGAAUUCCACGGAUAUAUAUUAGGAAGGGAACUAUAACAUGUGAAACAAUUUGAGAUACCGACUUCGAAAGAUUUGUUUGAAUUGGUAUUUAUGUUAUUGCACGCUUUUAAGAAGAGUAGAAACUUAUAAUACCACAAGUCGGGUGGAUCUAGAGUUUAUUAGUUGAUGCAAAUCUAGUAGUUUUUUUUACUCUAAUCUUGUAUUUUUAUUAAAUAUCUAUAAAUAUUUUCUUAUGAUAUACACACCCUCAUAGUUAGUUAUGUUUGUUAUGAUUAGUUGUUAUUAGCUUAGCUGUCAUUAGCUGUAUAAUUAUUCUUAGUUAGUUAAGUAGUUAGACACUUGUAUAUAUAUUUAACUGACGAGAGUAAUGAAAUAGACGGUUAUCAUUUUCUUCCCAACUCUUCUGCAUAUUCUCUCGAAGUUUCCGCCAUUGAAGAGCUUACUAGCUCAAGCUGCAUCUCACUGAUUCUCUAGUAUUUUGACAUGGUAUCAGAGCGGGCGAUGAAGAUGAAGCACGUGAACUGAUUUCGAUUAGCAAUCUCGUUAAGUUUCGUGAAUCGAUUGUGAAUUCCUUUUUCAAUUAUUUCAUUUCAUCAAUGGCAGAGUCGACAAUUCCUUAUAUACAUCCGCUAUACCUUGGUCAAUCUGAUACACCAGGAGUAGUUCUAAUUCUAGUAAAACUUGCAGGAUCUAAGAAUUACAGUCUCUGGAGCAGGACAAUGAAGAUUGCUCUUCUAGGGAAGCGAAAACUAGGUUUUGUAACUGGUACCUAUACAAAGGAGUCGUGCACGGUAGAAUUGCAUGAACAAUGAGAGACUUGUGAUCAAUUGUUCUUUCAUGGCUAAUGAAUACUGUAUCCACUGAGCUUCUUAGUGGAAUUGCUUAUACAUCCAAUGCACACCUUGUUUGGGAAGAUUUGACAGAGAGAUUUGACAAGAUUCAUCGCAUGAGGAUCUUUUAAUUACAUAGAGCCAUAGCUACUCUAGAACAAGGUACUGACUCUGUCUCAAUCUAUUUCACUAAGCUGAAGAGCCUUUGGAAUGAAUACGAUGCCCUAGCACCUACUCCCAAUUCAAAAGAGUAUGUUAAACAUCUUCAGCAACAAAGGCUAUUGCAAUUCCUUAAUGGCUUAAAUGAUUCUUAUGGCCAAGCUAGAAGACAAAUUCUAUUGAAAUCUGAAGAGCCUUCUAUUGACCAAGCUUAUGCCAUGGUAAUUGAGGAUGAGUCACAACAUGCUUAUAGUUUUGGUUCUGUGAAUGAUAAAACUGAUCCAAUUGCUAUGCAAAUUGGUAAGAAUCAGAAUUACAGAGGUAAGAAACCAUUCCAAUAGUGUGGACUUAAAGGGCAUACAAAGGAAAAUUGCUAUAAAAUUAUUGGUUACCCGGAGGAUUUUAAGGGAAACAAAAAGUUCAAUACUGCUAACAAUACUAGGAACCAAUAUGGUCGUGGGAAUGGUAAUCAUAGAGGGCAAUUCGGUUGUGGUACUCAACAGCCCUUUAAUGCUGCUAACAAUGCUUCUGCUUCAGCACAAGGCACUUCAGAAAGCGAUCUGCAAAGUACUCUUGCUGGGAAGGGACCAUACUUCACUGAGGAGCAGUACAUGCAGAUUCUAGGAUUGCUGAACAAAGAAACUGGUGAUAGUUAAGCCAAUAGUCAAGCUAACAUGGCAGGUAUGGCUGCUAGUUUGAUGUCACACAUAAUCACAAAAGACUAGAUCAUAGAUUAUGGUACAACUCACCACAUAGCAGCUACUGAAAAAUUAUUAAAUGAUGAUCCUAAGACUAAGAAGUCAUAUGAGGACAAAGUUAAUUUACCAACAGGGGAUAAAGUUAGAAUUUUUAUUAUUGGUCAAGCAUUUCUAUUUGAAUGAGAAGCAGUGGACAAUGUGCUUUAUAUUCCUAACUUCAAAUUCAAUAUGUUAUCAAUCUCCAAGCUAACUAGGCAGCUCUCAUGUUCUGUGAAUUUUCCCCUGAUUUUGUAUUGUUUCAGGACCUCUACAAUGGCAGGGUAAAGGGGAUUAGUAGAGAAGAUAUUGUACUGUACAUAUACAAGUGAAUACGAGACAUCAAUAAGGAGAAGAUACAUGGCUUAGUAGUACCUACAACAGAAGGAGAUUGCAACCUUUGGUACAUGAGACUUGGCCACCCUUCAGCUGGAGCAAUAAAGACUAUGGGGUUAGGAAGAGUUAUAAAUAAUGAAUUGUUGAAUAAAUGUAUUGUGUGCCCAUUGUCCAAGCAGGCUAGACUAACAUUUUCCACUAGUGAGUCUAGAACUGAAUGUCCAUUGUCUCUUGUUCAUAUGAACCUCUAAGACAUUACAAUGUUGCUAUAUUUGAUAAAAAUACUACUUCUUAACUGUUGUGGAUAAUUUUAGUAGAUAUUCAUGGGUAUACUUACAACAGCUUAAAUCAGAAGCAAUAGUUGCUAUCAAAAAUUUCUUGCAGAUGGUAAAGAACCAAUUCGCAACAAUGGUAAAGGUCUUGAGAUAUGAUAAUGGCAUAGAGUUUUUUAAUUCUCAGUGUAAUGAACUUUUACAAAACCUUGGAGUAAUACAUCAAAGCAGUUGUACUCACACUACAACAAAAUAGUGAUGUGGAGAGGAAGCACAUGCACAUACUAGAUAUAGCAAGAGCAAUAAGAUUUCAAUCCCAUAUGCGAAUAAAAUACUGGGGUACUGGUAUCUCUGCAGCAGUGUACCUGAUCAACAUAACACCAUCUUCAGCCAUCAAAGGAAAAAGUUCAUAUGAAAUGUUGUAUUGCAAACCUCCACUCUUAGGGCAUCUGAGAGUGAUAAGUUGCCUAUGUUAUGCUACUAUGGCACCCUAGGGUAACAACUUUGCUGCAAGAGCAAAGCCUGCAAUGCUCAUGGGGUACUCUGAGAGGUAAAAAGGCUAUGCGUUGAUGGAGUUGGCCUCUAAACAAUUCUUUGUUAGCAGGGAUGUGGUAUUCAGGGAAUCAGAGUUUCCUUUUUGUCACGACCCAAUUUUUCCUCUGUUUGGGUAUCGUGAUGGCACUUAGUCUUAGGGACUAGGUAAGCCUAACAUUAAUUUAAAAAAUAAUAUUAUUUAAAUAGAAUCUCUUACAAUUCCCAAAACCGGUAGUACAAGUCAUAAGCUCUACAGAGUGUUUGCUAGAAAACCUAUAAAUACAACUGUUCAGAAAUAGGAAUAAACAGCGCAAAACGAAAACUUGAAAGUGACUCUGAAGCCUGCGAACGCAGCAGCAGGUUUACCUUGAGUCUCCACAUCAACAGUCCACACAGCUAGCUAACGAACAAGUAUAUGGAUCUGCACAAAAAUGUGCAAAAAUGUAGAAUGAGCACACCACAUCGGUGCCUAGUAAGUAUUAAGACUAACCUCGGUGGAGUAGUGACGAGAAACAGUCAAGAUACCCACUGGUCUAAUAAACUGAACAGGUAUAAGUAUAUGAACAACAGAAAUAUGAUGUCUACAUAAAGAUUAUGCAAUAUGGCUCACAAUGCAGUAAUGGCAAUAAGGAAGGAAAAAACAAGUAUCAGCGGAAUAUCAUGAAAAUGACACAAACAAAGUGAAUAGAGCACAACCUAAAUCCGGAAUCACAAAUACAGCAAGGACAAGUAAUAACUCGGCAACUACAACUGCCUUUUACAUCAGGUUUUAGUCAACACUCCACGAACCUCAGACAAAUCACAACUCACGGGUCUCAAUACCUGAACUCUAACACUUGGCAUCUUGUGCCCUCAUAACACCUCAUAACUGCACUAACGACUCACAUGCCAAUAGAGCCAUUCUCACAAAGAAGGCAAGUAAACAAGGGUGAGCAUCUAUGCUCAACAAUAUCAAGAACACCUCUUAUCCGAUAAGAGUGCUUAACUACAUGUAUGCUUGUGCAAGUGUCCUAACAUAGUCCAUGUCAACAAAUAAGCAUAAGUAAAAAGAACGGAUAACACGUAGAAUAUUUUCUCGCAGCUUUCACAAGAUAAAGCUCACAUAGGUACGUAUACCACUACAUAAAUAUCAAUAACAAGAAUGCCCCCAGGCCACACAUCAAUCCCUGACACAGCCCACCUUGUCUCGCCACAUGCGCAACCCACAUAUACAUAUAUAUCCCGCCUUAUCACGUCGCAUGUGCAAAUAUCAAUAGUAAUAAUAGCACGGCAGAAACAUCAUGCAACCCCAUAAUAACAACCGCAUGACAGAAAACUCGUGCAUCACAAUAACCAUAACCGCACGACAGAAACCUCGUGCAUCACAACAAUAAGUACAACAACAAAAAUGACAAUAAUAUAAGGGUACGACAAAUAAGUCAACUUAGAAAUUCCAAAACUCAAAGAAACGGAGUAUCUAAUUUACAAGGAAUAGCCACAAUAGAGAAUGCUAGUCAUAAUAAGAACAUCUCAACAAGAAAGGAAAUACUAUGUAGCAAAGGGUCCACAAUAUACAGUUCGACAACGAGGGGGCUAACACAAGGUGAAAUAAUUCCAAAUAAGGACAAGUCAACUAAAAUAUAGGAUAUCUAACUUCUUUUAAGGUUGGGCAAUUAAGAAAGAAGUAAAACAACUUCAAUUAAGGAUGAACAAUUAUAGGAUGAGAUAAUAAUAAUUUCAAAUAAAGAUAAGCAGUUAUGAAAAGAUAGCAUGACAAUAGAGGAGGUAAAAUCUUCAGUUAAGUCAAAUAAGAGUCAAAUAGGCAAUAAGAGUGAAUCCUGAAGCAAUUAAUUCUAAUUAAAGCAUGUAGAGGUGAAACUAGUAAACUUCAUACUCAGUGAAUAUAAGGACCUAAGAAUCCUAAAAGGCCAACUUUCCACAAAUAAGUCCGAGCACACACUCAUCACCUCGCGCACAUGGACUACAAUCAACAUAGAAGACUCAAAUCCUAAGGGAAAAAUCCCCCACACAAGGUUAGGCAAGAUACUUACCUCGAACCAAGCUAAACCAGUCCGUAAGAAUGCCUUUUUCUCGAUUAUUCAACUCUGAAUGACCCAAAUCUAUCCAAACACAAUUGCAUAUCAUGAAUACAACCAUAGUAGACUCAUCUAAUUAAUGAAAUAAAUACUUUAACAAAAAUUCCGAAAUUCGCCCUAAAAAGUCGACCCAAGCCCAUGUCUCGAAAUCAGGUAAAAAUUAUAAAAUACGAACACUCAAGUCUAACCAUACUAAAAUCAUCAAAUUUCGAUACCAUUUCGUCCCUCAAAUCGUGAUUUUUCAUUUUGAAAUUUUCUUCAAAAACCACCAUUUUCGUCAACUCAAAACACAAAUUAAAUGAUAAAAAUAAAGAUAAAAUCAUGGAAAUAAAUAAAUUCUAGGUGAAGAACACUUACCCAAUCAAUUUGCUUGAAAACCUCACAAGGAAUCGCUCAAAACCGAGCUCUACAAGUCAAAAUAUGAUAAAAAUGGCCUAACCCUCGAUUUGGAAAACUUAUAUUCUGCCCAGGCCUGAAAGCAUCGCGAUCGCGGAAGAGGAGUUGCGAUCGCGAAGAGUAAAUGGCUACUGCCCGGAAUUGAUGUUGUGCGAUCGCGAAGAAGGAAAUUAAUGGCCCAGGAACUGGGCUACGUGAACACGUGAAACGACAUGUGAACGCGAAGAAGGAGAAAGCAGACCUUUGCGAUCGCGAAUGGAAUCACGUGAACGCGAAGAACAAUAAUUCUUUCUCCACAAAUUGCAUUACGCAAACGCGAGGGAACAGAUGCGAACACGAAGAAGGAGAAGGAAGACCUUCGAGAUCGCGAACGUGAUCAUGCGAACGCGAAGAAUAACGAAUUCCUCCUCCAAAAUUACUCUUCGCGAAUGCAAAAGGAAGGGACGUGAACGCGAUUAAGGAAACUAGAUGACAGAAAACAACAGUUCAAAAUAGAAGGAAAUGGCCCGUAACCCAUCCGAAACACACCCGAGGCCCCCGGGACCCUGUCUAAAUACACAAACAAGUUCCAUACCCUAACAAGGACUCGCUCGAGGUCUCAAAUCACAUCGAACAAUGCCGAAAAUACGAAUUGCACCAUAAAUCGAACUUAAGAACUUUCAAAACUUCUAACUUCGAAAAAUCGUGCCGAAACCUAUCAAACCAACCCGGAAUGACGUCAAAUUUUGCAGGCAAGUCCCAAAUAACAUGACGGAGUUGUUCCAACUCUCGAAAUCGUAUUGCGACCCUAAUAUCAAAAAGUCCACUUCCGGUCCAAAUCUCUAAAAAUUCAACUUUCGCCAUUUCAAGCCUAAAUCAGCUACAGACCUUAAAUUCACAGUCCGGACACGCUCCUAAGUCCAAAAUCACCCAAGAGAGCUAACGGAACUGAUGGAAUUACAUUUCGGAGUCGUCUUCAUACAAUUCCGACUACGGUCAAAAUCCUAAGACUUAAGCUUCCGUUUUAGGGACCAAGUAUCCCAAAUCACUCCGGAUUGUCCGGUAACUGAAUUAAACCACGCACGCAAGUCAAUACACAUAAUACAAAGCUGCUCAGGGUCUUAUGCCACCGAUCGGGACUUAAAUUCUCAAAACGACCGACCGGGUCGUUACACUUUUGCUUCCAUACCACUAGAUGAUUGUCCAGUAGUUCCUGAUCUGAGUAUGCAGGCUUCCCAAGACCUACCAUCAGAUCCAAUCUGUAUCAGUAGAGACACAACUAAUAAUGAUCUCAUAAAGGAUCAUACAUUGGCUACUGACAAUCCAGCAGAGCAGGUAGAGGAGACAACUUCCCAUGGUGAGGAGGCACUGCCUGAAGACUCACAACAUGAUCGACAUGCAGUCCUCAUAGAGUCAUUGCAGGACUAACUAUCUCAAGAAACCAAUGUUCCAACAUCACAUAUACCUCUCAGAAAAAGUACAAGAGAGUUCAAGGAACCUAUUUGUAUGAAUGAUUAUGUAGCUCCAAGUAAAGCAUCUAGCAAAUAUCCCUUGGCUAACCACGUGACAUAUGAAUACACUACUCCAACCUAUCAUAGAUAUCUAGCAAAAUUCUCUACUUUGGUAGAGAUACAGACCCUCAAACAGGUAGCCAAGGAUGAGAGGUGGAUCAUAGCCAUGCAACAGGAGAUUCAAGCCUUAGAAGACAACAAGACUUGGGAGGUAGUUGACUUACGUGAAGGAAAGAAUAUUGUGGGUUCUAAAUAGGUAUACAAGAUUAAGUAUCAAGCCAAUGGUGAAGUGGAAAGGCUCAAGGCCAGACUUGUUGCAAAAGGCUAUAGACAACAAAAAGGCCUUGAUUAUCAUGAUACAUUCUCACAUGUUGCCAAAAUGGUAACAAUGAGAUUAGUGAUUUCCUUGGUAGUUUUAAAAGGCUGGACUCUAUACCAAAUAGAUGUUUAUAAUGCCUUCCUACAAGGUGAUUUAUAUGAGAAGGUAUACGUGGAGUUGCCAGAAGGCUUUAAAAAGCAGGGGGAGAAGAAGGUUUGCAGUCUGCUUAAGUCCAUACAGACAAUGGAACACUAAGUUGACAGAUGCAUUACUAGAAGUAGGUUUUUCUCAAAGCAGUCAUGACUACUCUUUGUUCACUCUGAGAAAACAGGCUGAUGUUGUGGUGAUUUUGGUGUAUGUGGAUGAUUUUCUAAUUACAGCCAGUAGUGAAGCCUUAAUUACUGAAGCAAAACAGGUCUUGCAUCAGAAGUUCAAACUCAAGGAUUUGGGUGAGCUCAAAUAUUUCUUAGGCAUUUAGGUCCUGAGAUCUAAGUCUGGAGUUAUCUUGAACCAAAGAAAGUAUGUGCUUGAGUUGGUCACUGAAUUGGAACUUAGUAGAGCUAAGCCUACUAUUACUCCUAUAGAAUCCAACUUAAGACUCACAACUAUGGAGCAUGACAAGGCAACAGGUGCUAAGGGAGAUUCACUAUUACCUGAUGCUGGGCUUUAUCAUAGGCUUAUAGGGAAGCUCAUGUAUGUUACAAUCACUAGAGCUGACAUCUGCUAUGACAUUCAGACACUUAGUUAAUUCAUAUAGCAAUCCAAUAGGUUUCAUUGGGACUCUACUCUUCGAGUGGUCAGGCAUCUUAAGCAUUCACCAGGCCAAGGUGUUUUGUUGAGACCUGGUUCUACAAACGAGCUCAACUGUUGGUGUGUCUCUGAUUGGGCAGCCUGCCCCAACACUCGUAAAUUUGUCACUGGAUAUGUCAUUAAAUUUGGUAGUUCACUUAUCUCUUGGAAGUCACAAAGGCAACAAACUGCUUCUAGGAGCUCUGUUGAAGCAGAGUAUCGAAUCAUGGUUUCAGCAGUCGCAUAGGUCACUUAGUUGCUUGGCAUUUUCAAGGACUUGGGUAUAACCAUUCAUGUUCCUAUCACUGUGUUGAGUGAUAGUAAGUUAGCCAUCCAAAUCGUUACCAAUCCUAUCUUCCAUGAACGUACCAAACACAUCGAAAUUGAUUGCCAUUUCAUUCGUGAAAAGGUCAAAAUUGGCAUGAUCGAGACAGUGUAUGUGCACACUAAGGAUCAACUAGCAGAUUUACUUAAAAAGGGGUUGAGCCAAGCUCAACAUUUGCAUCUUCUAGGCAAGCUUGGUGUGCUCAACAUUCUACACCCUGCAAUUUUAGGGGGAGUCGCAUGAUAUACACACGUGGCAUAGUUAGUUAUAGUUAGUUAUGCUUGUUAUGCUUAGUUGUCAUUAGCUUAGUUGUAUAAUUAUUCUUAGUUGGUUAAGUAGUUAGAUACUUGUAUAUAUAGUUAACUGACGAGUGUAAUGAGAUAGGCUGCUAUCAUUUUUUCCCCAACUCUUCUGCAUAUUCUCUCGAAGCUUCCUCCAUUGAAGAGCUUGCUAGCUCAAACUACAACUCUCUGAUUCUCUAGUAUUUUGGCAUAUUUGAUUAUAAAACCAGUUAUUAUUGUAGUAUUAAUUUUUUUGUAAUAGAAACUCAUAAAUUGCUUCAAAUUAUAGAUCGCCUCUAUCACAAUUUAUUGACAUUGUUGGAAUAAGAAUAAGCAUUUUAGCAUAUGGAUAUUACAAUGUAAAUAUUUCUUAGGCAGGGUGAGUAUUGCUUUGGUUGAAUAACCAGCCGUCUAAUCGGUGCCAAAUAUUUGUACUCUGAUUAGUUUUGUCUUCUUAUUCAUGUAUUUGCCAAAAAUACCUUUGAUAUAGGCAAGCCACGAUAGUAUCAUGAUAGCCUUCAUCGACCGCCACGUGUUAUUAAUAAGAUUUCAACAAAGAUUUGCCCCAGGUCGAAAUGGCCUUAUAGUGAUGACAUGUGUGGUCGAAGAGUCAGCGAAGAUCAAGGACAUGAAGUCAUCAUAGAUCAGGGUUGAGGUCGAGCAUCUUAGACAGAGUUAUAACGACUAGUUUUAAGAUAGAACACACAAGAGAAUAUUCUAGUGGAUAUUCUCUCCACCUGUACUAUUAGGGUUUUUAGGAAUAUAUUCCCAAUAAAUAGAAAGAGACACAAUGAUAGAGGACAAAAGAUAUUCACUAUUAAGAAAACACAUUGACUUUAUAAAGAGAAUCUGGCCAUAUCACAAGCAUACGAAAACAACCUUUUUACUAAGACUCUUGUCUAACUUUUCCAAUUGAUCCAAGAACAACCUGAGUGUUCAACGACUCAUCAAUAAUUCAUCAUUAUCAGAAAGAAUAUCCACAGAUCCCACCCCUUUUUGGGUGACUCACAUAUUUUUGUUUACCUAAAUGCCAUUCAUUGCUACUUAUUAUUAUUUAAUGAUAUCUUUCACCUUUUAGGAUCAUUGGAUACUGUAAUUAUUGCUCACAUUUAUUUCCAUUCAAUCAAAUAUACAUACUAUAUGUCAUAAAAUCGAUAACCUUAUCUUUUGGAUAUUAAUAUUACCUAAAAUUGACUCCAUUUUAUUUAAAUCUAAUUUGUUGAACCCAGAUCUAAAUUUUUGGGUCAAAUAGUUUGGCGCCGUCUGUGGGGACUUCUUAGCUAAUUUUUUUAAAGUUUCCUUUAGAUCCACAACUCGCGAGAGUUGCUAACCUAAUGAACCACAAGAUUUCCCUUUAUCUCUGCACGUACGGAUACUUACAUAGCAGGUAACCAAGGAGGUAGGACAAAAAUGACAGGUGACUUACCUGGCAACCUCAUGAACGUUAUCAACAAGAGCUGUGAAACACUAGGCGAUGACGUGACACCCAUUGCCUCCCCCAGGCGCGAUAGGUCACCUCCCACACUGUAGCAUAACAAAACUAAAUAGAAAAAAGGCCUCCACGUCCACAAGAGAAGGGACGCCACCGGCCAUGAAAAAGCUCCUCGAAGCAUGCUUGACCGAUAAACUAGUAAGCGUGCUCAACAAGCCUACUCCAUGCACGAUCAUAGAGACCGCAAGAGCCCAUAAAACGCAAUGAGCAGACGAACAGGGCGACCAACCAGACCCUCCAACACUAGGUAUAACUCAUAAUGUUACUAACAAUGCAGGUGAUAGCGUCCUUACGUCUGUUCUAAAGAGGAUGGAAGAGAUGGAGAAUAAAAAUAAAACGCUCAGAGAUCAAAUGAAAGACCACCAAGAACGAGUCGACAAGAUACCGGGUGGCGGGCGCCCCUAAGUUAUUGCCAAAGAGGGACGCCGGUAGAUUCGUAGAGCAUUCGUAUAGCGAGGAAGCAACCCCGCAUGCCAUACUAAACACCUUUAAAAUGCGUCCAUAUCUCAGGAUAUACGACUGAACGACUUACCCCGAAGAUCACAUGACUCAUUAUGUCACCGCCGUGAAAGGCAACAACCUCACCAAGGAACAAGUGUCCUCUAUUUGGCUGAAGAAGUUUGGAAAAACCCUUAUGGGAUGGGUGUUUACGUGGUACUCACAGCUAUUAGCCCGCUCCAUAGAAACCUUCGAAGAAAUGACCAAUAAGUUCAUAACGAAACAUGUCGGAGACAAGAAAGUCGAAACAAGAGUCAAUGACAUCUUCGCCAUCAAGCAGUCCUUGGGAGAGGGACUGAGGGACUUCCUCGCUUGAUUCAAUAGGGUAAGGAUGACCCUACCAAAUGUGUCUGAAGGGAUGGAAGUAGUGGUCUUUCUGAACGGGUUAAGUAGAAAGGGUUCAAGAGUUACCAGAAAAUUGCUGAGCCGGUUGAUGAAGUAUCCUCCAACCACUUGGGAUGAAAUGCACAAUGCAUACUAUACCAAAGUCCGAGAAGAUAAAGACAACCUCAAUCGACCAACUUGACGGCUCGUCUCGAUAAAAGCCGAGCCUAGGAAAGAACUAAAAGAUAACGUAAGGAGGGAUCACCUAGUCUCACGACCAAACAGGAAAUGACAUCAUCCAUACAUCAGGGCCCUCGCCCCGUCUUCUUUCCGCUAUCAUGAAGGCCCAUCUAGGCCGAUGACGGGAACUUACCAGAACGAGAGAGGUAUGCCCCCCUUAUUGUCUACUCAUAAAUUUUAUGUCACCUAUAAAAAUAGUCUAUGCCCUGGAAAAACUCGUAAUGAAGCUGAACUGGUCGCCAAAGAUGAAGUUCGUCCCGAGCACCAGAAAAUGUGACGCCCUCUACGAAUUCCACUAGGAUUACGGACACAAGACUGCAUCGCCCUCAUGCAAAAGGUUGUGAACAUGUUGCAGCAGGGACACCUCAAAGAGCUGCUGAGCGACAAGGGAAGAAAUAACUUCGCUAGAGGUAGUGAAAGCCAAGGCCCACCAAAGCCACCAUCACUAGCUCGCACCAUCAGCAUGAUCAUCGGCGGCAACGACGAUGCCUCAAUCAACGACGUUAAAUUCACUGCCACUCAGAAGCUCAAAAUAUCUAUCACCCACGAACGGUAUAACAAACUCGAAGAAUGUAUCAUCUUCGACGAGUCAGAUGCCGACGAUUUGACUUUCCCUCAUAAUGAUGCUCUCGUCAUUACUUUAUGAAUUUUAGAUACUGAUGUCAAACGUAUCAUGGUAGACGAUGUGAAUGGAGAGUGCACUAUCCAUACCAAAGUCCUCACCGAGAUGAGACUCGAGGACAAGAUAGUGUCACAUUGUAUCACACUAACCCGAUUUUAAUGAUGUAGUUGAACGAACAUCAAGUGAAAUUACACUCCCCAUCUUGGCCGGUGGCAUAAAUCUUGAGACAACGUUACAUAUCAUAGACCAAGACACUGCAUCCAAUGUCAUAGUAGGAUGACCAUGGAUACACCCCAUGAAAGUUGUCCCCUAUAGCUUAUACCAAGUAAUCAAGUUCCCAACGCCUUGGGGGAUAUUCAGCAUACCAGAAGAACAACGCACAUCCCGAGAAUUCUAUCACAUCAUCUUAGACAACACGACAACCCAACAGAAGAAAGAUAAGGAAAAAAGGCAUAGCAAUUAAUAGGAUCGAGGUCGACGCAAGAAGAGACCAGGGACAUCAUCAUGCACCCCGAAACGGUUGAAGCCGCGAACUCAACUAUAGAGAAGCUCGAUCCCGUUUAAUUAGACCCCAGCAAAAAGGCCUACUUCGGUUGCAAACUUCGAGAACCAGGUAAACGGUUGAAGUCACAGACUCAACUAUAGAGGAGCUCGAUCUCAUUCAAUUAGACCCCAACAAAAGGCCUACUUCGGCUGCAAACUCCGAGAACCAGGUAAAUUUAGUCAAUUUUUAAUAACUAAUGCAAAUUUGUUUACCUUCAGCCAUGCAGAUAUGCCGGGCAUCCCUAAGGAGAUUGCCACACAUAAAUUAAACUUCGAUCCAUUCUAUCCCCUGGUAAGGCAGGUCAGACAAAAAUUCAACCCUGCCAUCAACGAUGUCGUCCACGAUGAGGUGGAGAAACUGUUAGAAAAUGGCUCCAUCAGGGAGUCUAAAUUCCCAAAGUGAAUCACCAACAUAGUGAUGGUAAAAAGGAAAAAGGUAAAUGGAGGAUAUGUGUAGACUUUACGGACUUGAACAAAGCAUGCCCGAAGGAUUCGUUCCCGUUACCACAUAUUGACCAAAUCAUCGACGCGACCGCCAGGCACGAGCUGUUGAGCUAUACUCGGGCUAUAACCAGAUACUUAUGGAAGAAGAGGACCAAGAGAAAAUCACGUUCAUCACCCACCAAGGAACGUAUUAUUAUAGGGUCAUGUCAUUCGGGCUGAAGAACGCAGGAGCUACCUAUCAAAGAUUGGUCGCAAAAAUGUUCAAAGAUCAGCUUGGCAAGACCAUGGAGGUAUAUAUCGACGACAUGCUGGUCAAAUCCAUAAAGGCGGAAGACCAUAUCGACCAUUUGAAGGAAGCUUUCGACAUACUGAGACGGUAUAGAAUGAAACUAAACCCAAAGAAAUGCGCAUUUAGCAUAGCCUUGGGAAAGUGUUUGGGCUUCUUAGUAUCACAACGGGGGAUCUAAGUCAACCCAGAACAAAUCAAAGCUAUUGAAGGGAUAUUGGAGCAACUGACUAAUAAGAAACAAGUCCAAAGGUUGACUGGUCGAAUCGUUGCCCUAUCAAGAUUUAUCUCGCGGUCUUCCGACAUAUGUCAUAGAUUUUUUGGCGUACUCAAAAAAGGAUAACACCCUUGAGUGGAAGCCCAAGUGCGUACAAGCUCUACGAGAUCUAAAGGCGUACAUGUCAUCACCACCUAUGCUCUCGAAGCCCGAACUCGGGGAACAUCUCCUCGUCUACCUCGCCGUCUCCUAAGUGGCAGUAAGUGCAGCCCUAAUUUGAGAAAGUAAAGGUACGCAAUCUCCCAUUUAUUACACUAGAAAAACACUCGUCCAUACCGUAACGAGAUACCAACACCUCCAGAAGCUGUCCCUGGCACUAGUCAUAGAUUCACAAAAGCUUAGACCUUAUUUUCAGUGCCACACUAUCUCGGUCGUCACCACUUUUCCUCUAAGAUGCAUUUUAGAUAAACCCAAAUUAUCGGGGAGGCUGGCCAAGUGCGCCAUCGAGCUAAGAGAGCACGAUAUCACAAAUCAGCCACGAGGAGUGAUAAAGUCGCAAGUGCUCGCCAACUUUUUUGCAGACUUCAUCUCAAGGAUAAUGCCUGAGGUCGAGAAGUAAGUCGUCCUAGCUUCUAUCCAAACACAAGACCUUUGGGUCCUAUACACUGACGGCGCAUCCAACGCUUAUGAAUUCGAACUGGGACUUAGUGCUCGAGGUCCCUACCGGCAAAGUAAUUCACUAGUCCAUAAGAUGCCCAGGUAUGACUAAAAAUGAUGCCGAGUAUGAGGCCAUAGUUACAGGAUUGAGACUAGCACUUAAGUAUAUGGUGAAGCAUUUAAAGCUUCGUUGUGAUUCCUAACUCGUAGUCAACCAAGUCGAAGGGACUUUCCAAAUCAAAGAACAAAGGUUUCAAAAAUAUUAGACCGAGAUCUGCAAGUUGUUGCCUAAGUUCGAAGAAUGCCAGCUCGACCAGAUCCUGCAUGCUCAGAAUGUUGAAGCGGAUGGCCUCACCAAAUUGGUUGCAGCCACUAAAAGCAUCACGACCGGGGAUAAAAGCGUAGACCACCUUUUCAACUCGUCAUUGGACCAAAUCGAGUUAAGAUCUGUAAGUUUAACUUGGGAUUGGCGCAAUCGUAUUAUCGCCUACUUGCGGGACGACAUACUCCCAAACGACAAAAAGAAAGCCAAAAAACUAAGAAUAUAGGCAUUCAAAUAUAACCUCUUCCACAUCAACCUAUACAAGAGGACAUACGACGACCCUUUGGCGAAAAUUUUGGCCCAAACUAAACCCAAUUCAUCCUCGAAGAAGUCCAUGAUGGCCAUUGCGGUGCCCAUUCUAGCGAUCGAGCAGUCAUUAAGUGUCUCAUACAUGCAUGAUACUACUGGACCACCAUGAAAAAAGAUGCCUCGUAAUUUGUGAAGAAAUACGAACAAUGUCAGAAAUACCCCCAAUAAUUCACCAAGCAGGCGAGCAUCUCCACUCAGUAACCUCUACAUAACCGUUCAUCAAGUGGGAAAUGGACAUCAUGGGCCCCUUCCUAGCAGGGAGAGGUAAUGUGCGAUUUUUUUUUUAUAGUUUUAACUAAUUAUUUCUAUAAAUAGGUGGAAGCAGGAGCAUUCGCCCAAAUAUGCGAACGAGAAGUAAUCACCUUCAUAUGGAUAAACAUCAUCUGCCGAUUCGGCCUACCCAAAGAGAGCAACUGCGACAACGGGCCCAGUUUAUGGGAAAGAAAAUUAUCGAAUUCUUCGAGAAAUGGCAUAUUAAGAGGAUACUUCAACCCCGUAUCACCCAGCGGGUAAUGGGCAGGCAAAAUCCUCCACCAAGUCCAUAUUAAACAUCAUGAAGAAAAUGCUCGAAGACGCCAAGGGACUGUGGCCAAAAAUACUCCCAGAAGUAUUAUGGGCGUAUAGAACCACCCCGAAGACAGGCACAUGAGAGACACACAACUCUCUAGUCUACGGAAUUGAAGAAAUCAUACUAGACGAUGUCGCAAAACCCAACCUAAGAUACUUCCACGAAAGCGGUACUAGUAAUGACGAGAGUAAAAGACAAGAACUCGAUGAGAUCGACAAACGAAGAGAUAUGGCAUACAUAAGGAUGGUCAUCCAAAAGCAGCAAGUAGAGCGUUACUACAACAAGAAAGUAAAGGUCCGACUGCUCAAAGUCGGGGACUACGUACUCAAAGCCAAAACCCAAGCAAGUAGAGACCCAUGGGAAAGCAAACUGGAAACAAAUUGAGACGGUCCAUACAAAAUUACAGCCAAAGAAAACAAGGGUUCGUUCCAACUAGAGACGAUGGAAGGCGAACAAUUACGAAAUAAUUGGAACAUCAGCCACCUCAAAUACUUCAACUUCUAAAAGGAAGAAGCGCUCCCAAGUCGUACUCUUUUUCCCCUCACCUGGGUUUUGUCCCAUUAGGGUUUUCUCAAAAAGGUUUUUAACGAGGAGACGAAAAGGUCACUUUGAGUCUAAGUAUGCGAAGGAGGGACUGCUUUCUCUUUCAUUGCCCGACUCCUGAAUACUCUCCAAGUUUAACAAUGAAGGGACUAGAUUAACUGGGACUGGAACCCUAGCCAAUGCCUAAUGUUUGUAUCUUUCUCCAAUCAUGUCGUCACAGCAACAAUAUCAAAGUAAUAGAAACUUACGUUUAUCAAAGCCGCCUUAACAAAAGGAUAAGUUCGACCCAGCUCGAAUAACAUUUAUCGGCCCUCGGCCACAUGUUAACAAAAGGUUAAGUUCGACCCAGCUCGAACAAUACCUAUCGGCCCUCGACUACACCUUACCAAAAGGUUAAGUUUGACCCAGCUCGAACAACACCUAUCGGCCCUCGGCCACAACUUAGCAAAAGAUCAAAAUAAACCAAGUUCGAACAACAUCUAUUAGCCAAAUCUACAUGAAGAGGCACACUCGACCUAUAUAAACAAAGGGCACAUAUGACCCGUAAAUAUUCAUCCCCAAGGCUACGACCAAUUAGAAGACGACGUCAAUGAAAAGGGCAGAAAUCAUAACGAGCAAACAACAAAAGCAAAGUAUACAAGUGUAGAAACAAGUGGAAGGCGUGGAAGAAGGCGCAAAAAACAACUUAAAUAUUCAUAUAUGAAUAAAAAGUUCAUUACAAGGGCUCUUGAAGACGCCGUCAAAAAUACACAAAAAUGUCUAAAGGAAAAACUACUGGCCCUCGCCAUCAUGACCCUCCGCACCCUCAUCAUCUGGGUUCCCAGCAUCCUCGCCACCCUCGCCCUGAGGAUAAAAGGUAUCAUACGAGGCAUCCUCUUCAAUUCGGUAUAUGCCCUCUUCCCUAUCUGACUCGUCAGGUUGAGGCGUGGCGGGAUCGUACGUCAAAAACAGAGCCUACUGUAUGCAAGUCCCGAAACACAUUUAAUCGGGCCUCGUCGUGGAUCCAUUCUUCGUACAACUCCCGAGGUACACUGGGAAAAUUAGAAGCGUUGGAAGAAUACGACCAUGCAAGUAGUUGAGCCCUCUCAGCCUCCAACGCGGUCACUUGGUCAUAAAGAUCGAGCUCUCCUUUUCCAGCUCCCCGAUCCUUUCCUUAAGCUGAUCCUCUUUAGAUCUCGCCGUUGAUUGGUCAUUUUCCCGCUCGGUCCGAAGAGUCUUAUUUGCCAACUCGAGGAUCUCCACCUCCUUCCGAGUGUCCAAACGAGAGGACUCUGCCUUCUCAAGUUCCUCAUAUUUCUCGGCAAUCUCGCCGCUGAGGGCUUCCGCCUAAAACCUACACUCUUCAAGUUGUCCUCACAACUCAACCACUUGGGCUUGAAGAUCACUGCAUUGGGCCUCUACUCCCUUGCUAACCUCGAGCUCCUUCUCUACUUCUCAACGUCCCUUCAAGGACGCUGUAUUUCUCUAUGGCAUGCACCAGCUCCUCGUCCCCUUUCUUCAAAUCUUCCCUCAGGGACCGCACUUCUCCCUUCAGGUGCUCUCAAUUUCCAUAAUCACCGUCUUCAAAUCAAAGGAAAAAAUUUAGAACUUAAGAGUGUUCUAAAGAGUUAGGAAAAGUUCGUACAAUAAUACUACCUCUUUAGUGUUCACCAAUAAGUCACGAUCCAUCGGGAUCAUGAUAGUCCUCGAACCCCCCUCCAACCUCACCUUGAGUUGGGCGAGCCCCUCGUCGAUCAUUCUAAGGUCACCCAAGUCGACAUCCAAUCCCGACUCAUCGCCCUAUUUAGAAACACUAUUUCCCCUAUCAUAAGUAGGCAAAGAAGCGUCCACGAUUGUUUGAGAGGUUAAAGCCUCCUCUUGUCGCGAAAGUUCAUGGACGCCAGCAGCCGCCUCCUCAGUCUCCCUCCCCUUAAAAUGUAGAGACACGCCUACAUCAGCUUCCAUCGUCCUUGGGGCAUCAAGACUCGAUUCAACAUCAUCAUUCACAAAAUUCAUCGUUGUCUCAUGAAACGAAAAAUCCCCUUCCACAACAUUAACGGCUAGAGGGACUCUAUCACCCACGUCCAAAGACCUCCUUUUUAGAGGUUGAAGAUCCCCAUCGCUGGGUGAAUGUUCAUUGUCCUCGUCAAUAAGUGAAAAUAGAUGAGGGACAGAAGUCGCGAUGACCGGAACAAGGACGGAGGCAAAAGCGGCGACGACUAGAGUUGGGAUAAAAGUAGGAAUGGCAAUGGCCGAGGCAGGGGCGGAGACUAAAGGCGUAGUGGACCUCCUCUUCCGGAACGAGGGUACAAGGGCCCUCGACCUCCUCGUAGAGCGUCUGACCGGACCUAGAGAAAAAUUGGAAAGGAAGAAAUCAACAACAGACAUAGACGAAAGAAACACGACGUCGACAGUAGGGAAGAGAUUACCUGCCGAGGGAAGAGAUGGCUUGAAUUUCUGAGAGAAACUCGACUAGUCACGUAUCCCCGCCGUAUGAGGAAGGAUAUGUCUGACCCAAUUGGAAAUAUGGGUCACCAUCCGAAGAGGUCAAAUAAUAGAUGCAAAAAAAGGAUAGAUGAUUAACCAACCCACAACAAGAAAAAUGCUAAACAAAAAAAAAA
RNAcentral lists this long non-coding RNA (30793 nucleotides) under Nicotiana tabacum (common tobacco). RNAcentral describes it as "long non-coding RNA (NTAB_LNC013092)". The record is from RNAcentral. Lineage: Eukaryota; Viridiplantae; Streptophyta; Magnoliopsida; Solanales; Solanaceae.